This 1029-nucleotide ribosomal RNA is filed under the name Triticum aestivum (bread wheat). RNAcentral describes it as "partial small subunit ribosomal RNA". The record is from RNAcentral. Lineage: Eukaryota; Viridiplantae; Streptophyta; Magnoliopsida; Poales; Poaceae.
AUGGGCAUCCUCUGCUUCGGCGCCUCCUCCACCCUGCUCUGCGGCGAGGACAGCAACAGCGCCCUCGGCCUGGGCGUCUGCGGCGGCGGCGGCGAGGUGGCGGGGGCGGGCGGCGGCCUGGGCUUCCUGGACGUCGGCGCCGUCUUCCCGGUCGACAGCGACGAGAUCAUGCGGGCGCUGGUGGAGAAGGAGAUGGAUCAUCGGCCCAAGGGCGGCUACGUGGAGCGGCUGGGGCACGGCGGAUUCGAGUCCUCCUGGAGGAAGGACGCCAUGGAUUGGAUUUGCAAGGUCCAUUCCCACUACAAUUUUGGACCACUGACCCUUUGCCUCUCGGUGAACUACAUGGAUAGGUUCCUCUCCUCCUUUGAUCUCCCACAUGACAAGUCUUGGAUGCAACAGUUGAUGUCAGUUGCUUGCCUAUCCCUUGCUGUCAAGAUGGAGGAGACCGUGGCCCCUCUUCCUGUGGACCUUCAGGUUUGCGAUGAGUACUAUGCAUUUGAACCAAGGAAUAUCAAGAGGAUGGAGCUCGUUGUGAUGGAGACCCUGAAAUGGAGGAUGCACUCUGUGACCCCAUUCUCUUUCCUGUGCUACUUCUUGGACAAGUUCAAUGAAGGGAAGCCACCCAGUUACAUGCUGGUCUCACGGUGUGCCGAGCUCAUAGUCGCCACUGUGAAAGACUAUAGAUUCUUAUCAUUCAGACCUUCUGAGAUCGCUGCCGCAGUGGUUCUAUGGGUGCUUGCUGAGAACCAGGUCAUCAGCUUCAGCAGUGCCCUUGCAGCAUCUGAAAUCCCUGUAAAUAAGGAGAUGAUUGCGGGAUGCUAUGCGCUGUUGGUGAAGAAGAGAGGGAACUUCAGCGCGAGCCUUUCAGCGCCGCUGAGCCCGAUCGGGGUGCUGGAUGUGCCAUGCUUCAGCUUCAGGAAUGAUGACACAACACCAGGGUCAUCACCCUCGAACAACAACAGUAGCAGCAACGAUCAGGCCUCCACUCCAGCUUCCAAGAGGAGAAGGCUAAGCGCAUCGCCGAUCUGA